UUGAAAGGGAAACGAUUGAAGUCAUUGGUCCGGAUGGAAAUCCACCUUCCGGAGGCCUUUUCGUAGAGGCCGUGAACCUCCCCGCCUUCCUUGCCUUCGGUUUUGGUGCUUUUAAGGGGUCCUUUCCGUAUGGUAGGUCAACAUCGAUUUUGAUCGUCAUAAAAUGAUCGGAGGAAUGUGGCUCUGAUCUCGUAUCGGAGUGUUAUAGCCUUUGAUAGAUGUGACGAUUGGGAUCGAGGAUUGCAACGAAUACCCUUCUGGGCUAUCCGUCUGACCUCUGAAAGUCGCUCGGGUGUCGAAAGCGUGCUUAUGACAUUCUAGUUGGCGGUCAAAAGGUUAGAGCGUGAUUACAUUCGUUAAGGAUGUUGACGUA
This 373-nucleotide ribosomal RNA is filed under the name uncultured Glomeromycotina. RNAcentral's name for it is "LSU rRNA". Lineage: Eukaryota; Fungi; Glomeromycota. The record is from RNAcentral.